This 497-nucleotide ribosomal RNA is filed under the name uncultured bacterium. RNAcentral describes it as "partial 16S ribosomal RNA". It matches the Rfam family "Bacterial small subunit ribosomal RNA", at positions 28 to 507 of the family's 1533-position model. The record is from RNAcentral.
GAUGAACGCUGGCGGCGUGCCUAAUACAUGCAAGUCGAGCGAACAGACGAGGAGCUUGCUCCUCUGACGUUAGCGGCGGACGGGUGAGUAACACUUGGAUAACCUACCUAUAAGACUGGGAUAACUUCGGGAAACCGGAGCUAAUACCGGAUAAUAUAUUGAACCGCAUGGUUCAAUAGUGAAAGACGGUUUUGCUGUCACUUAUAGAUGGAUCCGCGCCGCAUUAGCUAGUUGGUAAAGUAACGGCUUACCAAGGCAACGAUGCGUAGCCGACCUGAGAGGGUGAUCGGCCACACUGGAACUGAGACACGGUCCAGACUCCUACGGGAGGCAGCAGUAGGGAAUCUUCCGCAAUGGGCGAAAGCCUGACGGAGCAACGCCGCGUGAGUGAUGAAGGUCUUCGGAUCGUAAAACUCUGUUAUUAGGGAAGAACAAAUGUGUAAGUAACUAUGCACGUCUUGACGGUACCUAAUCAGAAAGCCACGGCUAACUACGUG